Molecule: RNA transcript, 2043 nt
Organism: Phascolarctos cinereus (koala)
Lineage: Eukaryota; Metazoa; Chordata; Mammalia; Diprotodontia; Phascolarctidae
Gene: AP1S2
Gene name: adaptor related protein complex 1 subunit sigma 2
Source: RefSeq, a predicted model, not a curated record
GCUCGGCAGCAGCGGGGUGCUGAACCCGAGCAGCAGGCUACCUCAUCUCUUCCCAGUCAGAGUGCCCGUACAAGUAACUGUACAGCACUCAGCCUACUCUGCGUUAUGAUGCAGUUUAUGUUGCUUUUUAGUCGUCAGGGAAAGCUCCGACUCCAGAAAUGGUAUGUCCCGCUAUCCGACAAAGAAAAGAAAAAAAUCACAAGAGAACUAGUUCAAACAGUUUUAGCCCGUAAACCCAAAAUGUGCAGCUUUUUGGAGUGGCGAGAUCUGAAGAUUGUCUACAAAAGAUAUGCUAGCCUGUAUUUCUGCUGUGCUAUUGAAGAUCAGGACAAUGAACUAAUUACCCUGGAAAUAAUUCAUCGUUAUGUUGAACUACUUGACAAAUAUUUUGGCAGUGUGUGUGAACUUGAUAUCAUCUUUAAUUUUGAGAAAGCUUAUUUUAUUCUGGAUGAAUUUCUUUUGGGAGGAGAAGUUCAGGAAACAUCCAAGAAAAAUGUUCUUAAAGCCAUUGAACAGGCAGAUCUGCUCCAAGAGAACCAGAAUGAAGACUGGGGAGGUUUGUGUGACGAUACCUUAUGAUUAAGAACAAUAUAAGGCUUUAGUUUCCCUUCACCCCCACCCUAAUUAUUGGAAGCUGAAACCCCACGUAGUGUUCUUGAAGAAAUUGGACUGACAUAAGCCAUCUCCCAUGUUGAUGACAUCAUGUGGUCUCACAUACUGUAGAUGUUCACUGCCUUCAUGUCAAUGUUUAGCUAAUGGUGUAAGAUGCUGUUUGUCAGUAUUACUGUUUUGCUAAGCCGCUUCAUUCAGGCCUACAUAAAAACACUCCACUUUUUCAAAAGGGAAUAAAAAGUAUUAGCUUUUUUUUUAAAGGGACUUAAAUGUUAACUAAAACUUGAUGCAGAAGAAAUAUCUUUUCCGUAUCCUCAAAGGUUGAAUUCAGUUUCCCAUUAAUUUUAUUUGUAUGUGAUAAUUAUGAUAUACACAUAAAAUCACAAUCAGGAAGCACAUUUGUUGCUAUUACUGCAUUCAACUGAAAGGAAGCUACACUUGUAUCGACGUAAAAGUAAAUGUAAUAAUGUUUCAAUAUGGUUUUAUGCAACCAAAGACUAGUGUUACAUUUCAGUAUUUAUGGGAAUGUGAAAAAUUGACUGAUUUUACAUAUCAAAAUGAUUUAAAUUUUAACAUUACCGCUGAAACUUAAACAUAUACAUGUAUACCAAAGAUACUUAUUGGGAAUUACAUAUCUGGUAGCUUAUUGAAAAAACAUACAUUUCUGAGACUAAAGGGAUAUUACUGUUAAAGGGAAUAUAGGUUACUUUAAUCAGAACAAUCCUGUUUUACAUUGACUAUUAGUUGAAGGCAGGAAUUUGGACUGAAGAUACUACAAUAUGAGCACAUAAUGUACACUAUGAAAAUGGUUAGACGUUAUAUUCUAUGUGAGAUUUCUUUAAGCAUAAUUUUACAACUUAAAUGGAUUAUCUUUAUCCCCCCAGAUACAUUAUACUGCCACUGUUUACCUCAUUUUUCCAUGAGCUAAGGAAAACAUCUACUUACAUAGGAUGUUAUCAAUCAAAAUGCUGAGUUGCCUAGUAUUAUUGCUAUCUCAAAUAAACCUUGGCUGUGUUCACAAAGUAUCACAUUGGCUAAGUUUGCUCCACUGUUAGUAUUAUUCUGGUUAACUAAAUUUUCCCUGUACUUUUUUUUCCAUAAAGUACCACUAAUUUGACAUUUUUCUCCUUUCAUGCCACCUCCUAGUCAGAAAAUAUUCAUCAUAUAUAUACAUAUCUACAUAUAUCUAUCUCUCAUGUAAAAAUGUUAGCUGGAUGAGGUAAAAUGACAAUAGGGGGAUUUUUUAAAAAGCUGUUACAAUUCAGUUUCAAUACCAUUUUCGUAUGUAUUUAAACAUGUCUUCAAGGUUUACACUUUCACUUACUUGUAUGUGCUUGGCUGGAUUAAGCUUUGUGAUUGUGACCAAUAUUUAGGCUGUGAUCAUUGUCUUAUCACAUACGUUAGUUAUAAUAAAUGUCCACUCUUACACCA